This 448-nucleotide ribosomal RNA is filed under the name uncultured bacterium. Its description in RNAcentral is "partial 16S ribosomal RNA". It matches the Rfam family "Bacterial small subunit ribosomal RNA", at positions 328 to 793 of the family's 1533-position model. The record is from RNAcentral.
CCUCCAGACUCCUACGGGAGGCAGCAGUGGGGGAUAUUGCACAAUGGGGGGAACCCUGAUGCAGCGACGCCGCGUGGGUGAAGAAGCGCGUCGGCGCGUAAAGCCCUGUCAGCAGGGAAGAAAAUGACGGUACCUGAAGAAGAAGCCCCGGCUAACUACGUGCCAGCAGCCGCGGUAAUACGUAGGGGGCAAGCGUUAUCCGGAUUUACUGGGUGUAAAGGGAGCGUAGACGGCCAUGCAAGCCAGGGGUGAAAGCCCGGGGCCCAACCCCGGGACUGCCCUUGGAACUGUGCGGCUAGAGUGCGGGAGGGGCAGGCGGAAUUCCUGGUGUAGCGGUGAAAUGCGUAGAUAUCAGGAGGAACACCGGCGGCGAAGGCGGCCUGCUGGACGAUGACUGACGUUGAGGCUCGAAAGCGUGGGGAGCAAACAGGAUUAGAUACCCGUGUAA